This 441-nucleotide ribosomal RNA is filed under the name Macrostomum hystrix. RNAcentral describes it as "partial 16S ribosomal RNA". It matches the Rfam family "Archaeal large subunit ribosomal RNA", at positions 1901 to 2677 of the family's 2987-position model. Lineage: Eukaryota; Metazoa; Platyhelminthes; Macrostomidae. The record is from RNAcentral.
AAAAACAUUUCUUUUUUAUAAAAAAGUAUUUCCUGCCCAAUGAUUAUUUAAAUGGCUGCAGUAAUUUGACUGCAAUAAUGUAGCAUAAUUGCUUGUAAUUUUAUUGAUUACUAGUUUGAAUGGGAGAAUGUUAAAAUUAUUUUAUAUUUUUUAUGUUAAAUUUUUAUUGUUGGUUAAAAUACUAACAAAAAUAAAAAAGAAGAGAAGACCCUAUAAAGUUUAUCUUGAUGCUAAAAAAGAUUUUUUUAGGGAAAAAAUUUUUAUUAAAAAUUUUUGGUUUGGAAUAAGGGAAAAAAUUACUUUAGGGAUAACAGGAAAAUAAAAAUUUAAAGUUCAAAUUAAAAUUUUUGUUUUUUACCUCGAUGUUGAAUUAAAAAUUCUUUUUUUUGCAAAAGAAAAAAAAGAAAGUCUGUUCGACUUUUAAAAUUUUACAUGAUUUGA